RNAcentral lists this ribosomal RNA (271 nucleotides) under uncultured archaeon. RNAcentral describes it as "partial 16S ribosomal RNA". It matches the Rfam family "Archaeal small subunit ribosomal RNA", at positions 477 to 747 of the family's 1478-position model. The record is from RNAcentral.
CAGCGCCACAAGUGGCAAUCGUUAUUAUUGGGCCUAAAGCGUCCGUAGCCAGUUUAGUAAGUCUUUUGUGAAAUUGUUGUGCUUAACACAACACUGUGCAAAAGAUACUGCUAGACUUGGAACUGGGAGGAGUUAGGGGUAUUCCAAGGGGAGCGGUAAAAUGCUAUAAUCCUUGGAGGACCACCGGUGGCGAAAGCGCCUAACUAGAACAGAUUCGACGGUGAGGGACGAAAGCCAGGGGGGCAAACCGGAUUAGAUACCCGAGUAGUCC